RNAcentral lists this long non-coding RNA (305 nucleotides) under Hordeum vulgare. RNAcentral's name for it is "long non-coding RNA (HVUL_LNC003309)". Lineage: Eukaryota; Viridiplantae; Streptophyta; Magnoliopsida; Poales; Poaceae. The record is from RNAcentral.
CCGAGCUCCCCAAGCUCCACGCCUCCUUCCCCUCUAUCCAGAAUCCACGCUCCUGCCCUCCAUCGUCCCCCGUGGCUAGCUAGGGUUUCGGUAGCCACUUCAUCUCUGACCUAUUUCGAUAGCCAUAGUUAUCUCUUGUAGCACCACGCCGCCGCCACUCGCCUUGCAAGGUACGUUCCUCCAACCCGCCGCCGGCCCCGACGACGAUCGACCGGAGAAGCCGCGCCGCUACGGGGUCAUGGAGAUGAGGAGCCCCUGCUACUCCUUUCGCCCGCCCGCCACGCACUCCAGGUACUACGACCGCC